RNAcentral lists this ribosomal RNA (369 nucleotides) under uncultured eukaryote. RNAcentral's name for it is "partial 18S ribosomal RNA". It matches the Rfam family "Eukaryotic small subunit ribosomal RNA", at positions 592 to 976 of the family's 1831-position model. The record is from RNAcentral.
CAAUAGUAUAUACUAGUGUUGUUGCGGUUAAAACGUUCGUAGUCGAAUUUCAUACUUUACGGCCAGGGUCAUCCUGGCCACGAGUUACUGUUGGUGUAUCACCACGGAGUGUAGUAUCUUCCAAGGAGAUGCAUCAACAUGUUACCUUGAAUAAAUUAUGGUGUUCAUAGCAAGCACGGAGUGCUCUGAAUACAGUAGCAUGGGAUAACAACGAGAGGACUUCGGCUCGUGAUGCAUUAGCAACCGAGAUCGAAGGAAUGAUUAAUAGGAGCAGUCGGGGGUAGUCGUAUUCCAUUGCUAGAGGUGAAAUUCUUUGACCGAUGGAGGACGAACAACUGCGAAAGCAUCUACCCAGAAUGUUUUCAUUGA